This 253-nucleotide ribosomal RNA is filed under the name uncultured bacterium. RNAcentral's name for it is "partial 16S ribosomal RNA". It matches the Rfam family "Bacterial small subunit ribosomal RNA", at positions 524 to 776 of the family's 1533-position model. The record is from RNAcentral.
UACAGAGGUCCCAAGCGUUGUUCGGAUUCACUGGGCGUAAAGGGUGCGUAGGCGGUUGGGUAAGUCUGACGUGAAAUCUCCGAGCCUAACUCGGAAACUGCGUCGGAUACUAUUCAACUCGAGGAAUGGAGGGGAGACUGGAAUUCUCGGUGUAGCAGUGAAAUGCGUAGAUAUCGAGAGGAACACCAGUGGCGAAGGCGAGUCCCUGGACAACACCUGACACUGAGGCACGAAAGCUAGGGGAGCAAACAGG